CUGACAGCCCCAGAGACUGGAGUCCUCUACUUAUCCACUGAACAGGGACAAUCUGUGCUGCAACUGUGCAAAUUCUCCAUAUGCUGCUCUUAUCCUGCAAGGCUCAACCUUAACCAGGAAGAACCAACCGCAGAGUUAAGAUGGGCAUUCAGUCUCCAUGGCCCAUUUAGUCCUUGGCCUCU
This 182-nucleotide small RNA is filed under the name Chrysemys picta bellii (western painted turtle). RNAcentral describes it as "TUC338 (ENSCPBG00000017856.1)". The record is from RNAcentral. Lineage: Eukaryota; Metazoa; Chordata; Testudines; Emydidae.